Molecule: transfer RNA, 72 nt
Filed under: Shewanella hanedai
Lineage: Bacteria; Pseudomonadati; Pseudomonadota; Gammaproteobacteria; Alteromonadales; Shewanellaceae
Also listed under: 167 other names
Rfam family: tRNA
About the family: Transfer RNA (tRNA) molecules are approximately 80 nucleotides in length.
Source: RNAcentral
GAGCGGUAGUUCAGUUGGUUAGAAUACCGGCCUGUCACGCCGGGGGUCGCGGGUUCGAGUCCCGUCCGCUCC